GCAAGUCGAACGAGAAACUGGUUUUUAAUCAGUGGACAGUGGCGAACGGGUGAGUAACACGUGAGAAACCUGCCCCGGAGACUGGGACAACCGUUGGAAACGACGGCUAAUACCAGAUACCCCCGAUUGGUCGCAUGGCCGAUCGAGGAAAUGCUCUGGCGCUUCGGGAGGGUCUCGCGGCCUAUCAGCUAGUUGGCGGGGUAACGGCCCACCAAGGCAACGACGGGUAGCUGGUCUGAGAGGACGAUCAGCCACACUGGGACUGAGACACGGCCCAGACUCCUACGGGAGGCAGCAGUGGGGAAUAUUGCGCAAUGGGCGAAAGCCUGACGCAGCAAACGCCGCGUGAGGGAAAGACGGCUCUCGGGUUUGUAAACCCUCUUUUCAGUGAUGACGAAAAAUGACGGGUAAUCACAGAAGAAAGCUCCCGGCCACUACGUGCCAGCAGCCCGCGGUAAUACGUAGGGAGCAAGCGUUGUCCGGAUUCAUUGGGGCGUAAAGAGCUCGUAAGCGGGUUGGUAAGUCAGAU
This 529-nucleotide ribosomal RNA is filed under the name uncultured bacterium. RNAcentral's name for it is "bacterial SSU rRNA". It matches the Rfam family "Bacterial small subunit ribosomal RNA", at positions 57 to 593 of the family's 1533-position model. The record is from RNAcentral.